Molecule: ribosomal RNA, 1241 nt
Filed under: metagenome
Description: bacterial LSU rRNA
Rfam family: Bacterial large subunit ribosomal RNA
Source: RNAcentral
UUGAAACCGACACAGGAGGACUGGUAGAGUAUACCAAGGCGCUUGAGAGAACUAUGCUGAAGGAACUCGGCAAUUUGCCUCCGUAACUUCGGGAUAAGGAGGCCUCAUGAGCGGGCAACCGUUUGUGAGGGGCACAAACUAGGGGGUGGCGACUGUUUAACAAAAACUCAGGGCUCUGCUAAGCCGCAAGGCGACGUAUAGGGUCUGACGCCUGCCCGGUGCCGGAAGGUUAAGAGGGGAGGUGCAAGCUUUGAAUUGAAGCCCCGGUAAACGGCGGCCGUAACUAUAACGGUCCUAAGGUAGCGAAAUUCCUUGUCGGGUAAGUUCCGACCUGCACGAAUGGCGUAACGAUCUCCCCGCUGUCUCCAGCAUAGACUCAGUGAAAUUGAAUUCCCCGUGAAGAUGCGGGGUACCUGCGCUUAGACGGAAAGACCCCGUGCACCUUUACUAUAACUUUACACUGGCAUUCGUGCUUGCAUGUGUAGGAUAGGUGGUAGGCUAUGAAGCAAGGGCGCCAGCCCGUGUGGAGCCAUCCUUGAAAUACCACCCUUACGAUCAUGGAUGUCUAACCGCGACCCGUCAUCCGGGCCCGGGACAGUGUAUGGCGGGUAGUUUGACUGGGGCGGUCGCCUCCCAAAGAGUAACGGAGGCGUGCGAAGGUGGGCUCAGACCGGUCGGAAAUCGGUCGUCGAGUGCAAUGGCAUAAGCCCGCCUGACUGCGAGACUGACAAGUCGAGCAGAGACGAAAGUCGGCCAUAGUGAUCCGGUGGUCCGUUGUGGAACGGCCAUCGCUCAACGAAUAAAAGGUACGCCGGGGAUAACAGGCUGAUGAUUCCCAAGAGUCCAUAUCGACGGAAUCGUUUGGCACCUCGAUGUCGACUCAUCACAUCCUGGGGCUGGAUAAGGUCCCAAGGGUUCGGCUGUUCGCCGAUUAAAGUGGUACGUGAGUUGGGUUCAAAACGUCGUGAGACAGUUUGGUCCCUAUCUGGCGUGGGCGUAGGAGAAUUGAGAGGAUCUGUCCUUAGUACGAGAGGACCGGGAUGGACGUACCUCUGGUGGACCUGUUGUGGCGCCAGCCGCAGUGCAGGGUAGCUAUGUACGGUCGGGAUAACCGCUGAAGGCAUCUAAGCGGGAAACCCACCUCAAGAUAAGUUCUCCCUUGAAAGCCGUGGUAGACCACCACGUUGAUAGGCCGGGUGUGGAAGCGGAGCGAUCCGUGCAGCUUACCGGUACUAAUAGCU